This 2449-nucleotide long non-coding RNA is filed under the name Sus scrofa (pig). Its description in RNAcentral is "lncRNA (ENSSSCG00060014950.1)". Lineage: Eukaryota; Metazoa; Chordata; Mammalia; Artiodactyla; Suidae. The record is from RNAcentral.
AGGCGCUGGCUGCCCCUGGACGCUUGAAGGGCUUGAAAACUUGUGUCUCGUCACGGGGAGGGUGAGAGACCCAUGGAGGGAGCGGGUCGCGGCGCCAAGAGGCUUACCUCCUGCGUGUGUGCUGACAAGGAGGCUGCCUUUCAGGAGAGCUUCCCCCUGGGCAGUCACGAAGUGGCGCGCUGGUUCCCGGGCCACACGGACAAGGGGAAGACACGUCAGGCAUUUGCCUAAGGCUUCUGUGCAGAAUGGAGCUGGAGGAGCCUUAUUUGUGCCACACCUGUGGUACACGGAAGUUCCUGGGACGGAGUCUGAAUCCACGCCGCAUCCACAAUCCUCACCAAAGGUGCAGAAACACCGGUUUCACCACCCACUGUGCUGGGCCAGGGAUCCACAGGUAACACCUCAGAGACAAACCAGACCAUUAACCGACUGUGCUACAGCUGGAACUCCUAUUUAUGUAUUUUUAAAGAGAAGCUAUGUAUUUAAGGUGCACAACAUGAGGAUAUGAGGUACAAAUACAUGGUGAAAUGAUAACUACAGUCAAGUCGAUUAAUAAAUAUGUCAUCUCUGGAGUUCCCGUUGUGGCGCAGUGAAAAUGAAUUCGACUGGGAACCAUGAGGUUGCAGGUUUGAUCCCUGGCCUUGCUCAGUGGGUUAAGGAUCCGGCGUUGCCAUGAGCUGUAGAGUAGGUCACAGACGUGGCUGUGGUGUAUGCUGGCAGCUGCAGCUCCGAUUAGACCCCUAGCCUGGGAGCCUCAAUAUGCCACGGGUGCGGCCCUACAAAGACAAAAGACAAAAAAAUAAUAAUAAUAAUAAAUAAAUAAAUAUGUCAUCUCCACACAUAGUUACCAUUUUUGUAUGAGAUAAACUUGCUUAAAAUCCAGUCUCUUAGAACAUUCUCAGUGUUUGAUAGACUUGUUAAGAUUAGUCGUCAUGCCUGUACAUUAGUCUCUAGAUUUCUUCAUCCCGCAUAACUGCAACUUUGUAUCCUUUGACCACCAUCUCUCCCCCUUUCUCCCUCCUCUUCCGUCCCCCACUUGCAAGCCCCUGAUGACCACUAUUCGACUCUCUGAUUCCAUGAGUUCAGUUUUUUUUUUUUUUUUUUUUUUAACAUUCCACUUAUAAGGGAUACCAUACAGUAUUUGCUUUUCCCUUUCUGGCUUAUUUUACUUAGCAUAAUGCCCUGCAGCAUAAUGGAGGGCAUAAUGUUUUCACUAAAGGCAGGAUUUCCUUUUUUUUCUCAUGGCUGAAUAAUACUGUAUUCAGGCUGUUGUAUUUAUAUACCACAUCUUCUUUCUCCAUCCAUAAGUCGGUGAAUGAUUGGUUAUUUUUUUUAAUAACUUGGCUUUUUUGAUGAAUGCUGUGGUGAACAUAGGAGUUCAGAUGUCUCUUCAAGAUCCUGAUUUCAUUUCCUUUGGGUAUAUACCCCAAAUUGGGAUUGCUGGGUCAUAGGAUGGUUCUUGUUUUAAUUUUUUGAGCAAUAUGCAUACUGUUUUCCAGAAGAGCUGUGCCGAUGAUCAUUUCCACUGACAGUAUACAAGGAUUCCCUUUUCUUUUCAGCCUUGCCAACAUUUGCUGUCUCUUGUCUUUUUGACUAUAGACAUCCUAACAGAAGUGAGGUGAUAACUCACUGUGGCUUUGAUUUGCAUUUCCUGAUUGCUAGUGAUUUUGAGCAACUUUUCAUAUGCUUCUUGGCCACUUCUGUCUUCUUUUAAGAAGUUUCUACUCAGGUCCUUGGCCCAAUUUGAAUCAAGUUGUUUGUUUGAUCAAGCUGUUAUUGAGUUGUUUGAGUUCUUUAUAUAAUUUGGAUAUGAACCCCCUUAUCAAAUGUUUGAGGUUUGCCAGUAUCUCUUCUUAUUCCACACGUUGUCUUUUCACUUCUUGGUUUCCUUUGUUGUGAAGAAGCUUUUGAAUUGGAUGCAAUCCUAUUUGUCUAUUUUUGCAUUUGUUCCCUGGACUUUUGAGGUCAUAUUCAAAAAACAUUGUCCAGAUCAAUACCAAGAAGCAUUUCUGCUCAGUUUUCUUCUAAUAGUUUUACAGUGUCAGGUCUUACAUUCAAGUUCCUAACUAUGUUGUAGUUGAUUUUCGUAUAUGGAGUGAGAUGAGGGUCCAGUUUUAAUCACUUGCAUGUGGAAAGUAGUUUUCUCGGAGUUCCCGUCGUGGCGCAGUGGUUAACAAAUCCGACUAGGAACCAUGAGGUUGCAGGUUCGGUCCCUGCCCUUGCUCAGUGGGUUAACGAUCCGGCAUUGCCGUGAGCUGUGGUGUAGNGUGUAGGUUGCAGACGCGGCUCGGAUCCCGCGUUGCUGUGGCUCUGGCGUAGGCCGGUGGCUACAGCUCCGAUUCAACCCCUAGCCUGGGAACCUCCAUAUGCCGUGGGAGCGGCCCAAGAAAUAGCAACAACAACAACAACAAAAGACAAAAAAAGACCAAAAAAGACAAAAAAAAAAAAA